AUAAUUGUUUGUUUAGUUUUUAAAUAAUUAUAGGUUAAAUUUUAAUUAUUUUAUGUGUAUAAUUAUAAUUUUAAAUUUUGAAAAUCGAAUUAGAUUAGUACCUAAUUAGUCAAAAGUUAAAAGAGCAGAAGUAAAGUAAAAUUUAAACUGAAAGAAUAUUGGCAGAUUUUCUAAAUUAUCUUUGGAGGUUGAGUAAUAAUUGAGAACCCUCAUUAACUACUUUUUUAGUGGUCUCAUGUAUGAUCGUUUAUUAUAUGCUUAAGGUAUAUAAUUAAAAAUUAUUUAUUUAUAAAAAUAGAUAUAUAUUUGGUUUAUAUAAAAGUAAUAUUUGACCUACAAUAAUUUGUAAUUGUGGAUCUACUUUUUUGUGAAGUAGUGAAAAUGUAAAAGACAGUAAAAAAAUUUUUAUGGUUUUUUGAAGAUUAUUUAGAAGU
Molecule: ribosomal RNA, 434 nt
Filed under: Uncinaria sp. SAN-2011
Lineage: Eukaryota; Metazoa; Nematoda; Chromadorea; Rhabditida; Ancylostomatidae
Description: partial 12S ribosomal RNA
Source: RNAcentral